UGGGGAAUCUUGGACAAUGGGGGCAACCCUGAUCCAGCGAUGCCGCGUGAGCGAAGAAGGCCUUAGGGUUGUAAAGCUCUUUCGCCCGCGACGAUGAUGACGGUAGCGGGAGAAGAAGCCCCGGCUAACUCCGUGCCAGCAGCCGCGGUAAUACGGAGGGGGCUAGCGUUGUCCGGAAUUACUGGGCGUAAAGCGCGCGUAGGCGGUCCACCAAGUCGGGGGUGAAAGCCCGGGGCUCAACCCCGGAAUGUCCUCCGAGACUGUUGGACUGGAGUUCGGGAGAGGAUAGCGGAAUUCCCAGUGUAGAGGUGAAAUUCGUAGAUAUUGGGAAGAACACCGGUAGCGAAGGCGGCUCUCUGGCCCGCAACUGACGCUGAGGCGCGAAAGCGUGGGGAGCAAACA
RNAcentral lists this ribosomal RNA (402 nucleotides) under uncultured bacterium. RNAcentral's name for it is "bacterial SSU rRNA". It matches the Rfam family "Bacterial small subunit ribosomal RNA", at positions 355 to 774 of the family's 1533-position model. The record is from RNAcentral.